Molecule: ribosomal RNA, 181 nt
Filed under: Mesorhizobium sp.
Lineage: Bacteria; Pseudomonadati; Pseudomonadota; Alphaproteobacteria; Hyphomicrobiales; Phyllobacteriaceae
Description: partial 16S ribosomal RNA
Rfam family: Bacterial small subunit ribosomal RNA
Source: RNAcentral
GCGGUGAAUACGUUCCCGGGCCUUGUACACACCGCCCGUCACACCAUGGGAGUGGGUUGCACCAGAAGUAGAUAGCUUAACCUUCGGGAGGGCGUUUACCACGGUGUGAUUCAUGACUGGGGUGAAGUCGUAACAAGGUAACCCUAGGGGAACCUGGGGUUGGAUCACCUCCUUACCUUAA